CCCCUAGAUGUUCUGGGCCGCACGCGCGCUACACUGAACAGUUCAACAAGUCUUAACCUUGGCCGAUAGGUCUGGGUAAUCUUUGAACGCUGUUCGUGAUUGGGAUAGACCUUUGCAAUUAUGGGUCUUCAACGAGGAAUUCCUAGUAAACGCAAGUCAUCAGCUUGCAUUGAUUACGUCCCUGCCCUUUGGACACACCGCCCGUCGCACCUACCGAUUGAAUGGUCCGGUGAAAUCUCGGGACGGCGGCUUGGUCGCUUGCGUCCGACUGCUGAAACUUGAUUAAACCAUAUCAUUUAGAGGAAGGUGAANUCGUAACA
Molecule: ribosomal RNA, 320 nt
Filed under: uncultured eukaryote
Lineage: Eukaryota
Description: partial 18S ribosomal RNA
Rfam family: Eukaryotic small subunit ribosomal RNA
Source: RNAcentral